RNAcentral lists this long non-coding RNA (220 nucleotides) under Elaeis guineensis (African oil palm). RNAcentral describes it as "long non-coding RNA (EGUI_LNC038232)". Lineage: Eukaryota; Viridiplantae; Streptophyta; Magnoliopsida; Arecales; Arecaceae. The record is from RNAcentral.
AGUAGCCAACAAUCAUAUCCAUCAAAUAAAAUAUAAUAAUAAAGUUCAAUUCUAAUUAUUCAUUAAGUAAUUAAAUUGAGACUAGUUCUAAGUAUCUAAAUCCAAAGUCAAAUAUCAAAUCCAUAUCUCAAAAUUCAUAAAUAGCUAACUACAAGUCCAUAAUCAUCCAACAAACUAAAUCCAGCUAUAGAAUUUUUGAGUUUGCUAGUGCUCACCCCCA